Canis lupus familiaris (dog) is the source of this 1677-nucleotide long non-coding RNA. RefSeq lists it as uncharacterized. The transcript has 3 exons. The record is from RefSeq and is a predicted model, not a curated record. Lineage: Eukaryota; Metazoa; Chordata; Mammalia; Carnivora; Canidae.
CUAUUUUCAGACAUACACUGAUUCUGUCUUUGACUCUGGUGAAGUCACCAGAAACCAGCAUAGCAUCUGUUAGUCUCUCCUUUUGGAAAAUUGAAGGAAACAACACUUCUUAUAAGGAAGCAGCAUGGACAAGGGGACUGUCUGUCAUCAGAGCCUCUGCCUGGGUGUGGGCGAAGCCAGGCCAGGCCGCAAACCACCCGGGUUGGGAGAAUGGGCCUCCUCCGCAGAUUAACAUCUGGAAGCAUCUGGGGUUAAGAGUCUAUCACAGAUCACAGAAAGAAAAUAGAAGUGAAGGUUCAUCUCAGGCAGGAAGUAAUUCUGUCCUAAGAAGAAAACUGUUGUAGAGUCAUGGACCCUGGAGUAGGAAUCAGAAGACUCAGAAGAGCUCCAUACAAACUCACUCUUUGGUGCGGAGAUAAGGCAGGCAUGGUACAGGUUCACAGACUCAGCACUGGAAGGGAAGUGACUCUCAAGUCAUUUCCAGAAGCUGAUGGAGCAACUGAAGCUGUGGUACCAUUUUGGUAUUACAAAAUCUUUUUUUUUUUUUUUAAACAAAUACCAUGUUUCUGAGCAAUUCAGGACAAUUAGAGGGAUCAGUAGUGAGGAUAAAGAGAAGGCACUGAUAUUUCUGGUGAAAAUUUUCAAAAGUAUACCCACCUAGGGCCCAGACUUUCCAGAAGUAGGUCAUGUUUAUGGUAAGCCUUGAAACAAGUGAGUAAAUCAUUUCUAUUCUCAAGCAGCAUUAAGAAUCGUUGUUUUAGAGUAGUUUAAUGCUUAAAUGCCUUUAAGCAUUUCCAAUCCCAUAUAUCCUGAAUUUUUAAGAAUUCACUUGAAAAGUUACAUUUGAUGCUUGAUAUUUUCAUCAUUCAUUUAUUUUUUUUAUUUGUUUAAAAUGCGUUUUAUUGUUUUUAAAGUCAUCUCUGUACCCAGCAUGGGGCUCAAACUCAUGACCCUGAGAUCAAGAGUCCCAUGCUCUACCAACUGAGCCAGCCAGGCACCCUCUCAUUACUAGUUUUAAAUAGCUGCAAGAGCGCUAUUUAUUUUGGCAUAUUAUAAGUAGUAAUAUCUUUUAAAGAGACAUUAUAGUCUUUGAAAUCCGUCCAAUGAAAUUUGAAUGCCACUGUGAUUCGGAAUUCACCUUCUUUCAUUUAAAAACAUGUAGCCAAAAAAAUAAAAAUAAAAAAAUAAAAACAUGUAGCCCAUCAAGACGAUGCAAGUUUACAGCUCAGAUUUACUAUUUACCAUUUAAUAUCAAUGCCGUAAGCUACAUUAAGAUGAGACCCAAAUCUCUGACAACCAAAUCUUUGUGAAUAUGUUCUUUCCAAAUUAAAGAAGGCAGUAAAGCGCAGCAGGAGCAGUCAGGCAGCUCAUUUUCAUCCCUGAGCCAUGCACUUCAGCAACAUCCAAAGGAAUGCUUCUGCGCCAUUCCCAGCACAAUCCUGGAUUAACUUGGCUAAAGGAUUUCAAAGUUUUGAAAGCUCCUCACCAAUCGUAUUGUUGGUAAGUCUUAACAAGCCAAAUAUCAAAUAUAUCUAUGGUUAACUGGGAAUAAUUGGAGAUGUCUGUGGCUCCAUCCAUGUGAAGGCACAUGUUUCAUCUUCAAAAAAAAAAAAUUUUUUUUAACCACAAUCUGUUAAACAAUGACUUCCAUCAUUUUAUGUACUCUAAAAAUGCAAA